GGAGAGGUGGCCGAGCGGCCUAAGGCGCUUGCCUGCUAAGCAAGUGUGGGAGUUUUUCCCACCGAGGGUUCGAAUCCCUCCCUCUCCGCCA
Molecule: transfer RNA, 91 nt
Filed under: Thermotogota bacterium
Lineage: Bacteria; Thermotogati; Thermotogota
Description: Thermotogae bacterium (oil production facility metagenome) tRNA-Ser
Rfam family: tRNA
About the family: Transfer RNA (tRNA) molecules are approximately 80 nucleotides in length. Their secondary structure includes four short double-helical elements and three loops (D, anti-codon, and T loops).
Source: RNAcentral